CCUGCGGAGGGAUCAUUACCGAGUUAUUCAACUCAUCAACCCUGUGAACAUACCUAAACGUUGCUUCGGCGGGAACAGACGGCCCCGUGAAACGGGCCGCCCCCGCCAGAGGACCCCUAACUCUGUUUCUAUAAUGUUUCUUCUGAGUAAAACAAGCAAAUAAAUUAAAACUUUCAACAACGGAUCUCUUGGCUCUGGCAUCGAUGAAGAACGCAGCGAAAUGCGAUAAGUAAUGUGAAUUGCAGAAUUCAGUGAAUCAUCGAAUCUUUGAACGCACAUUGCGCCCGCCAGUAUUCUGGCGGGCAUGCCUGUUCGAGCGUCAUUACAACCCUCAGGCCCCCGGGCCUGGCGUUGGGGAUCGGCGGAGCCCCCCGUGGGCACACGCCGUCCCCCAAAUACAGUGGCGGUCCCGCCGCAGCUUCCAUCGCGUAGUAGCUAACACCUCGCGACUGGAGAGCGGCGCGGCCACGCCGUAAAACACCCAACUCUUCUGAAGUUGACCUCGAAUCAGGUAGGAAUACCCGCUGAACUUAAGCAUAUCAAU
This 544-nucleotide ribosomal RNA is filed under the name Fusarium solani. Its description in RNAcentral is "eukaryotic LSU rRNA". The stretch from base 169 to 322 matches the Rfam family "5.8S ribosomal RNA". Lineage: Eukaryota; Fungi; Ascomycota; Sordariomycetes; Hypocreales; Nectriaceae. The record is from RNAcentral.